GCUGGCGUAGCUCAGUCGGUAGAGCAGCUGAUUUGUAAUCAGCGGGUCGGGGGUUCAAAUCCCUUCGCCAGCUCCA
RNAcentral lists this transfer RNA (76 nucleotides) under Candidatus Methylomirabilota bacterium. RNAcentral describes it as "tRNA-Thr". It matches the Rfam family "tRNA". From Rfam's summary of the family: Transfer RNA (tRNA) molecules are approximately 80 nucleotides in length. Their secondary structure includes four short double-helical elements and three loops (D, anti-codon, and T loops). Further hydrogen bonds mediate the characteristic L-shaped molecular structure. tRNAs have two regions of fundamental functional importance: the anti-codon, which is responsible for specific mRNA codon recognition, and the 3' end, to which the tRNAs corresponding amino acid is attached (by aminoacyl-tRNA synthetases). tRNAs cope with the degeneracy of the genetic code in two manners: having more than one tRNA (with a specific anti-codon) for a particular amino acid; and 'wobble' base-pairing, i.e. permitting non-standard base-pairing at the 3rd anti-codon position. The record is from RNAcentral. Lineage: Bacteria; Methylomirabilota (SeqCode). RNAcentral also lists the same sequence under 3 other names.